GCGCGGGUGGCGAAACUGGCAGACGCACUACCUUGAGGUGGUAGCGCCCGUAAGGGCUUGCAGGUUCAAAUCCUGUCCCGCGCA
RNAcentral lists this transfer RNA (84 nucleotides) under Candidatus Jorgensenbacteria bacterium. RNAcentral's name for it is "tRNA-Leu". It matches the Rfam family "tRNA". From Rfam's summary of the family: Transfer RNA (tRNA) molecules are approximately 80 nucleotides in length. Their secondary structure includes four short double-helical elements and three loops (D, anti-codon, and T loops). Further hydrogen bonds mediate the characteristic L-shaped molecular structure. tRNAs have two regions of fundamental functional importance: the anti-codon, which is responsible for specific mRNA codon recognition, and the 3' end, to which the tRNAs corresponding amino acid is attached (by aminoacyl-tRNA synthetases). tRNAs cope with the degeneracy of the genetic code in two manners: having more than one tRNA (with a specific anti-codon) for a particular amino acid; and 'wobble' base-pairing, i.e. permitting non-standard base-pairing at the 3rd anti-codon position. The record is from RNAcentral. Lineage: Bacteria; Candidatus Joergenseniibacteriota.